This is a long non-coding RNA of Heterocephalus glaber (naked mole-rat), 400 nucleotides long. Lineage: Eukaryota; Metazoa; Chordata; Mammalia; Rodentia; Bathyergidae. The record is from Ensembl.
AGUUAGUCCUGACCUGAGUAAGGCCCCAGGUAUCGAAGGGCUCUCGCUGAAGACUUACUUCCACGUCCUCUCUGACGGAUUUAUUCUGAGUAAGCAGCCCGAUCAAUUUGAGGAUUGAUGCCCGGUGUGAGAAGUCCUGCCUUACGAAUGGAAUUUCAAGACAAAUGAACUCAUCAUGAUCUUGCAGACGUGAGGCUAUUAAGAUGUUUUCUGUAGACCUAGAAGAUGUGAAGAGGCCUUGUCAUUGUGCUUGUUGAUCCAGAAGUGAAUUUUGUAUAAGAGUGAAUGGUUGCUGUGGUCACUAUUGAUGAAGAAACAGAUGCCACUAAACCACUGUGGGCUGGCUCAUCCUGGACUUUGACAUCUGGGUUGUUGUGUGAAAUACUUUGUUCUUUGAAUG